This 203-nucleotide ribosomal RNA is filed under the name uncultured bacterium. Its description in RNAcentral is "partial 16S ribosomal RNA". It matches the Rfam family "Bacterial small subunit ribosomal RNA", at positions 524 to 726 of the family's 1533-position model. The record is from RNAcentral.
UACGGAGGGUGCGAGCGUUGUCCGGAAUCACUGGGCGUAAAGGGCGCGUAGGCGGCGCGGGGAGUCAACGGUGAAAGCUCGGCGCUCAACGCCGAGUCGGCCGUCGAUACUCCCGUGCUCGAGCACUGUAGAGGCAGGUGGAAUUCCGGGUGUAGCGGUGGAAUGCGUAGAGAUCCGGAAGAACACCGGUGGUGAAGGCGGCC